AUGCAAGUGUAAGUUCACGCCACGCUUCAGAACGGGCGAAACCGCGAAUGGCUCAGGAACCGGACCUAAUCCUCGGGACCGUAAUCCUCCUCGGAGGCGAUGGAUAACUGUGGCAAUUCUAGAGCUAAUACAUGUGACACAGGCCGCGAUCGGCCGUCGCGUCGUGGUCGCCUCGCCUCGCGCGCUGGCACCCGCGGCGGCCGUCUUGGGUCGCGGCGCUACAUAUUAGACUGAGACCGAUGCGCGAUUCCCGUCCUCCCUUCGUGGCUUGCUGCGUGGGGAUCAAGGUCGGCGCGCUCCGCUUUGGUGACUCUGGAUAACUCACUGGUCGAUCGCACGGGCUUCACGCCCGGCGACGGGUCCCUCGAGGGUCCGCCCUAUCAACUGUCGACGGUCGGUUAAGUGCCUACCGUGGUUACUACGGGUAACGGGGAAUCGGGGUUCGAUUCCGGAGAGGGAGCAUGCGAAACGGCUACCACA
Molecule: ribosomal RNA, 480 nt
Filed under: Abralia veranyi
Lineage: Eukaryota; Metazoa; Mollusca; Cephalopoda; Oegopsida; Enoploteuthidae
Description: partial small subunit ribosomal RNA
Rfam family: Eukaryotic small subunit ribosomal RNA
Source: RNAcentral